AACGAACGCUGGCGGCAUGCCUAACACAUGCAAGUCGAACGAGACCUUCGGGUCUAGUGGCGCACGGGUGCGUAACGCGUGGGAACCUGCCCUUAGGUUCGGAAUAACUCCCCGAAAGGGGUGCUAAUACCGGAUAAUGUCUUCGGACCAAAGAUUUAUCGCCUUUGGAUGGGCCCGCGUUGGAUUAGCUAGUUGGUAGGGUAAAAGCCUACCAAGGAGACGAUCCAUAGCUGGUCUGAGAGGAUGAUCAGCCACACUGGGACUGAGACACGGCCCAGACUCCUACGGAAGGCAGCAGUGGGGAAUAUUGGACAAUGGGCGAAAGCCUGAUCCAGCAAUGCCGCGGGAGUGAUGAAGGCCUUAGGGUUGUAAAGCUCUUUUACCCGGGAUGAUAAUGACAGUACCGGGAGAAUAAGCGCCGGCUAACUCCGUG
This 433-nucleotide ribosomal RNA is filed under the name uncultured bacterium. Its description in RNAcentral is "partial 16S ribosomal RNA". It matches the Rfam family "Bacterial small subunit ribosomal RNA", at positions 29 to 507 of the family's 1533-position model. The record is from RNAcentral.